Long non-coding RNA from Aedes albopictus (Asian tiger mosquito), 2252 nucleotides. RefSeq lists it as uncharacterized. The transcript is spliced from 5 exons. NCBI's taxonomy places the organism in Eukaryota, Metazoa, Arthropoda, Insecta, Diptera, Culicidae. The record is from RefSeq and is a predicted model, not a curated record.
CGAAUUUAUACAGACGUAAGAGUGCGGUACAAACCACUAAAAAUUUUCGGUACCAUGUUUUCUUCUUCUUGUUGGGCAGAAGUUUAACGAGGGAGCUAGUUGUUACCAUUUUGCGGUUGUUUUUUACGCAUUGGCUUACCCCCUUUGCAAGAUUUUGACAGUCUUUCGCCGCCUUCGCCGCGUUCACGGCGCAUUCGCCGCACAAAGAUUUGUUUUGUUUUGUUUACGUUUUGAUCUCGGUUUUGAUGGUACGCGGUACAAAUUAUUUGUUUCGAUCGUUUCAAUGGAUGAAAUUGUGCAAUAAAUGAAUAUUUCAUCAAAAUCGAAACAAAUAAUAUGUAAUAUUCAAUCCGUUGUCGCGGUUUUGGGAGGAUAAACUUUACAAGGACACCAAGACGGUUCGGUUGCAGGUAGCUGGAUUCAGCGUACAAAAACUUCAAUCAAGUCCUUGGAAAUGGUGGGCUCAGGUUUGAACAACGAGCUGGAAGCGCGUGCCGUGUCCCAGGGCAUGGUGGGCCAGAAGGACGCCCGGCGGGCUGCCGGCCUGAUAGUGCAGAUUGUGCAUGAAGGGAAGAUAGCCGGGUGGCUGCUGACCGGGGAGCCUAGUACGGGAAAGAUGGUCAUUGCUCUGAGGAUAGCAGGGCACUCGGAUUCUUAUCGUUGCUUGCUGGGGACACCGGUGAGAUCAAACAGGAUGUCCGCGAUCAGAUCAACGACAAGGAUGGCGCGAACGAUGGAAUGGCGCGAACAGAAUAAAGCGGAAAUCUAUCCCGGAGUGUUGCUCAUCGACAAGGCCCAUAUGUUGGAUAUCGAAUGCUUUUCCUUCCUGAACAAGGUUCCUUGGCAAGCGAUAUGGCCCCGGUCGUAAUUAUGAUCAUCAAUCGAGACAUUACCAAAAUCCGUGGAACCAACCGUUGUAGCCCGCCCGGAAUCCCAAUCGCUCCCAGACGUGCUGGGAGCAUCAGAACCUGAAUCAAGAGGAUGUCGCCCGAUGUUCAUGGAGGUAUAGGAAAAGAUCGAUCGCUGUUUCGAUUUCUAUCUGCAGAAAAAGUUAAACCGUUACAACGGCCUGCGGGCUUAAGAGGAAACGAAUUUCUCGGAAGAGGCCAUGCUGAUAAUGAGCGCUUCCAGAUCUACGGCCGGAAGGUUGACUAUCUGGAGAAGAUAAUUUUGCACAUGGAUCAAGAUCAGAAAUGGAGAGAUGAAGGCCAGGGAGAAGCCGACGGUGGCCAGGAUGCGUGCUGUCCGUUUCCAACCCCAGUCGUUGUCCGAUUGUUUCGAGGAUUUGGAAUUUUCUGUGGUAUAGAGUAAGAAGGCACCGAUCAAGUCCUUGGUUAGAGGGGUAGACAAAGGGGCUGUCGAUCAGCGGAACAAGUUUAAGCAGGAGUGUAAUGAGUUGAGGACAAUGUCCAAUAAGCAAAGAAAACAGGAAAUCUUGAAUUUCGAGACGGUGCAAAUAUUCCGCCGAUCAUGUCCAGUCAUACCGCUGCUAGGAAGAAUCAGAUUCUGGACUUGGAAUCUGGAGAAACAAUCGGAACUCGAUAUGACUUUCAGAUUCAUUUGAAUUUCAUCGAUGUCGCUGAUAUCACAACAUGAGGAAAUUCUUCCAGCUUUGUGACGUCGUCGAUUAUCUGUUCAAGCAAGCGAGGACAUGGCAAGCGUAAGGACAUCCUCAUCGGCAUCGAUUUUCCAGUUAAAAACACGUACUCCCGUCAACCAUGGUUUGGUCAACGCUAUCUGGAGGAUCUCUGCCGAUGCAACGUCAACGCCUUGUAAUAGUAAAUGCUUAUGGCUUUCAAUUGCAUACAUAUCAAUAAAAUUACUGAGGUGGGUGGGGUGUUUCUGUGAUCUCUAUAUAAUCCAUCCGAAAAUUCGCCAGGAGUCUAAACGCAAAACCAACAUCUAAGUGGAUCUACAAUAGUGGUCUGAAUUUGUUGCUCAGAAAUUUCACCAUGUCCUGCGAGGUGACGCAAAUCGCUUGAAACUUAUGGAACUAUUCUUGUGGUCCUUACGAUAUUCUUCCAAUUGAUCUGAAUUUUUCGCUCAGAAGGUUCAUCAUGUCUUCCUAGGUUGCGAGGUGACGCGAUACGCUCAGAACUUAUUGAGUUAUUCUAAUGAAUUUUGAGAUAUUCUUCCAUUUGAUUUAGAUGCAUUCCUCACGUUUUCCUAAAAUUCAUUGUGAUGCAAAACAUUACACGUCACUCCAAGAAGCUUUGUUCUAGCUAGAUUCACCAAGUCCUCCUAAUGCAUGG